This 735-nucleotide long non-coding RNA is filed under the name Homo sapiens (human). RNAcentral's name for it is "long non-coding RNA NONHSAT204702.1". Lineage: Eukaryota; Metazoa; Chordata; Mammalia; Primates; Hominidae. The record is from RNAcentral.
CGAGACUCCAAAUGGGUGGCAGUCGCAGCGGCUCCCCACGGAGGAAAGGUAGGCGUUCCCGGUCCACAUCCCGUGAGAGAGAACGCAGGCUCCAAGAAAGGUCCAGGUCUCGGGAGAGAGAUGGGAGAAGGAACCGCUCGCCAACCCCGCACCUAGGACGCUCCCGAUCUCCAAGACGACAUAAAUCCACAUCUCCUUCCCCUUCUCAGCCGAACGAAAGAAGAGAUGAGGAAAAGAAAGAAACAAAGAGCAAAGAAUGGCAAAUUACUGAGGAAGACUUAGAGGGCAAAACAGAGGAAGAAAUAGAAAUGAUGAAGUUAAUGGAAUUUGUCUCCUUUGACUCCACAAAAGGUGAGAAGGUGGAUUGCUCUGUAAAUGCCUAUGCCAUAAUUGUCUCUCAGAAGAGGAAGUACGGGCAGUAGAUGAAUCGAAAAGGUGGAUUCCACAGACCUUUGGAUUUCAUUGCAUGAGAAUUGAAAUGUUGAAGAAUGAUUUUUUCCCCUCAUCUUGGUCAGAGAGUGGAUUUUGUAUUUAACUUGCAUUCAAAAAACAGGAUCUCAGUUCUUCCUUCUUGUAAAGAAAUAUCAUUUGUGGUAAGCGUCAACCUCAUUUUAUUUGUCCUUAUUCCUGUGGAAGCAGUACAUGUUUUCUUCUUGAAUGCUCAUUAGGACUUCUUAAAAAACAUGAAAGUAAUUUGGAAGUAAGUUUAUCCAAUAAAGCAGUAUUUCUACACUU